This 425-nucleotide ribosomal RNA is filed under the name uncultured bacterium. Its description in RNAcentral is "bacterial SSU rRNA". It matches the Rfam family "Bacterial small subunit ribosomal RNA", at positions 359 to 776 of the family's 1533-position model. The record is from RNAcentral.
GAAUCUUGCGCAAUGCGCGAAAGCGUGACGCAGCAACGCCGCGUGAGGGAAGAAGGCCUUAGGGUUGUAAACCUCUUUCAGGAGGGACGAAGGUCGGCACGUUAAUAGCGUGUCCGAUUGACGGUACCUCCACCAGAAGCCCCGGCCAUCUACGUGACAGCAGCCGCGGUAAUACGUAGGGGGCAAGCGUUGUCCGGAAUGAUUGGGCGUAAAGAGCGUGUAGGCGGUCCGGUAAGUCAGCUGUGAAAGUCAAGGGCUCAACCCUUGAAAGCCGGUUGAUACUGUCGGGCUAGAGUCCGGAAGAGGCGAGUGGAAUUCACGGUGUAGCGGUGAAAUGCGCAGAUAUCGGGAGGAACACCAAUGGCGAAGGCAGCUCGCUGGGACGGUACUGACGCUGAGACGCGAAAGCGUGGGGAGCAAACAGG